GAUGAACGCUGGCGGCGUGCCUAAUACAUGCAAGUCGAGCGAACAGACGAGGAGCUUGCUCCUCUGACGUUAGCGGCGGACGGGUGAGUAACACGUGGAUAACCUACCUAUAAGACUGGGAUAACUUCGGGAAACCGGAGCUAAUACCGGAUAAUAUAUUGAACCGCAUGGUUCAAUAGUGAAAGACGGUUUUGCUGUCACUUAUAGAUGGAUCCGCGCCGCAUUAGCUAGUUGGUAAGGUAACGGCUUACCAAGGCAACGAUGCGUAGCCGACCUGAGAGGGUGAUCGGCCACUCUGGAACUGAGAAACGGUCCAGACGCCUACGGGAGGCAGCAGUAGGGAAUCUUCCACAAUGGGCGAAAGCCUGAUGGAGCAACGCCGCGUGAGUGAUGAAGGUCUUCGGAUCGUAAAACUCUGUUAUUAGUGAAGAACAAAUGUGUAAGUAACUAUGCACGUCUUGACGGUACCUAAUCAGAAAGCCACGGCUAACUACGUG
This 497-nucleotide ribosomal RNA is filed under the name uncultured bacterium. Its description in RNAcentral is "partial 16S ribosomal RNA". It matches the Rfam family "Bacterial small subunit ribosomal RNA", at positions 28 to 507 of the family's 1533-position model. The record is from RNAcentral.